AUUGAACGCUGGCGGCAUGCUUUACACAUGCAAGUCGGACGGCAGCACAGAGAAGCUUGCUUCUUGGGUGGCGAGUGGCGAACGGGUGAGUAACAUAUCGGAACGUACCGAGCAGUGGGGGAUAACUAAUCGAAAGAUUAGCUAAUACCGCAUAUUUUCUGAGGAAGAAAGCAGGGGACCAUUUGGCCUUGCGCUGUUUGAGCGGCCGAUAUCUGAUUAGCUAGUUGGUGGGGUAAAGGCCUACCAAGGCGACGAUCAGUAGCGGGUCUGAGAGGAUGAUCCGCCACACUGGGACUGAGACACGGCCCAGACUCCUACGGGAGGCAGCAGUGGGGAAUUUUGGACAAUGGGCGCAAGCCUGAUCCAGCCAUGCCGCGUGUCUGAAAAAGGCCUUCGGGUUGUAAAGGACUUUUGUCAGGGAAGAAAAGGGCGGGGUUAAUACCCCUGUUUG
RNAcentral lists this ribosomal RNA (451 nucleotides) under Neisseria flava. RNAcentral's name for it is "bacterial SSU rRNA". It matches the Rfam family "Bacterial small subunit ribosomal RNA", at positions 30 to 475 of the family's 1533-position model. Lineage: Bacteria; Pseudomonadati; Pseudomonadota; Betaproteobacteria; Neisseriales; Neisseriaceae. The record is from RNAcentral.